Zonotrichia leucophrys gambelii is the source of this 846-nucleotide long non-coding RNA. RefSeq lists it as uncharacterized. Lineage: Eukaryota; Metazoa; Chordata; Aves; Passeriformes; Passerellidae. The transcript has 3 exons. The record is from RefSeq and is a predicted model, not a curated record.
GAAUUGUGUCUCUCUGUGCAGAGAAUGUGAAUCUCACACACAUGCAAGCUCUGAAUCUGCGCUGACCCAGCAGGAGCACCAUGAAAACCACAUGAAGGCAAAGUGUCUCAGCAGGUGAUUGUGACUUCCAGAAAAACUGAAGGAGAAAGAUUGAAUUUGAUUUAUGCAUAAGUUGUGAUGCCUUAAAGACAAUCUUCUUCCAACUCUUCUGCCAUGGUCAGGAUACCUUCCACCAUCCCAGGUUGCUCCAAGCCCCAUCCAAGCUGGUCUGGAACACUGCCAGGGAUGGAGCAGCCACAGCUUCUCUGGGAAAUCUGUUGAGCAAGGGAUGGAUGUACCCUGGUGUGUCUCUUAUCUCUGAAACUGAAGAGAUGCUGUAGUACAACACCCCUGCACAGAGGAGCUUCAUCCACCAUCCUUCCAUGCUCUUCCCUUUCACACAGCAGUGGCUCUUCUGGGAGAAAAAUACUGAAUUUUAUGCCAGCUGAUCCCACUCCUUAUCCUGGGAUGCCAGAGCUCAUUGUGCAGAAGAUUUUUUUUGAGGAGGAAAGGAGUAAUUUUUAUCAGUUCACUAUAUGUCUAGUGAGUUUCUUAGAUGAACAGCAUGAAAAAUAUCAGUUGUUGUGUGAGAACACAGCAGGCUUCUUCUCACUGAUAAAUGCAGAUGACUCAGGGAAGAAGUGGUGGUACUAAACUACAGGAGUAAAUGCAAAUUAUGUGAUUUCUGGGAUGUUAGAAUCACAGCUAUCCUGUACCAGCUGACAGCAUCAAGAGUAGAGAACUGAAGAUUAUAAAUCAAUCCCUGAAUGUAUUAUUUUAUAUAUCUAACCAGCUUUUUAAACCUAA